GACGAACGCUGGCGGCGUGCUUAACACAUGCAAGUCGAACGAUGACGACCGAGCUUGCUCGGUCUGAUUAGUGGCGAACGGGUGAGUAACACGUGAGCAACCUGCCCUUCACUCUGGGAUAACCUCGGGAAAUCGAGGCUAAUACCGGAUAUGAGCUCCUGUCGCAUGGCGGGUGUUGGAAAGUUUUUCGGUGAAGGAUGGGCUCGCGGCCUAUCAGUUUGUUGGUGAGGUAGUGGCUCACCAAGGCGAUGACGGGUAGCCGGCCUGAGAGGGCGACCGGCCACACUGGGACUGAGACACGGCCCAGACUCCUACGGGAGGCAGCAGUGGGGAAUAUUGCACAAUGGGCGAAAGCCUGAUGCAGCGACGCCGCGUGAGGGAUGACGGCCUUCGGGUUGUAAACCUCUUUCAGCAGGGAAGAAGCGAAAGUGACGGUACCUGCAGAAGAAGCGCCGGCUAACUACGUG
Molecule: ribosomal RNA, 467 nt
Filed under: uncultured bacterium
Lineage: Bacteria
Description: partial 16S ribosomal RNA
Rfam family: Bacterial small subunit ribosomal RNA
Source: RNAcentral